GAUGAACGCUGGCGGCGUGCCUAAUACAUGCGAGUCGAGCGAACAGACGAGGAGCUUGCUCCUCUGACGUUAGCGGCGGACGGGUGAGUAACACGUGGAUAACCUACCUAUAAGACUGGGAUAACUUCGGGAAACCGGAGCUAAUACCGGAUAAUAUAUUGAACCGCAUGGUUCAAUAGUGAAAGACGGUUUUGCUGUCACUUAUAGAUGGAUCCGCGCCGCAUUAGCUAGUUGGUAAGGUAACGGCUUACCAAGGCAACGAUGCGUAGCCGACCUGAGAGGGUGAUCGGCCACACUGGAACUGAGACACGGUCCAGACUCCUACGGGAGGCAGCAGUAGGGAAUCUUCCGCAAUGGGCGAAAGCCUGACGGAGCGACGCCGCGUGAGUGAUGAAGGUCUUCGGAUCGUAAAACUCUGUUAUUAGGGAAGAACAAAUGUGUAAGUAACUAUGCACGUCUUGACGGUACCUAAUCAGAAAGCCACGGCUAACUACGUG
RNAcentral lists this ribosomal RNA (497 nucleotides) under uncultured bacterium. Its description in RNAcentral is "partial 16S ribosomal RNA". It matches the Rfam family "Bacterial small subunit ribosomal RNA", at positions 28 to 507 of the family's 1533-position model. The record is from RNAcentral.